GAAAUGCGAUAAGUAAUGUGAAUUGCAGAAUUCAGUGAAUCAUCGAAUCUUUGAACGCACCUUGCGCUCCUUGGUAUUCCGAGGAGCAUGCCUGUUUGAGUGUCAUGGUAUUCUCAACCCUCCUGUGGUUUUUGUUUUCACAAAAGUCCGCAGGUUGGGAUUGGACUUGGAGGUUUUCAUUGCUGGGCUUCUCUCCUGAAGCUUGGCUCCUCUGAAAUGCAUUAGCUUGAAUGAUUUUUACCCAAGCAUGAUCCAGCGUGAUAAUUGUCUACGCUGCCUCGUCGUGGUGAAACCAGGCUUCGAACCGUCUCCUCCGGAGACAACUUUUCUGAACAUCUGACCUCAAAUCAGGUAGGACUACCCGCUGAACUUAA
This 374-nucleotide unclassified non-coding RNA is filed under the name uncultured Polyporaceae. RNAcentral describes it as "sequence contains ITS1". The stretch from base 1 to 105 matches the Rfam family "5.8S ribosomal RNA", at positions 50 to 154 of the family's 154-position model. Lineage: Eukaryota; Fungi; Basidiomycota; Agaricomycetes; Polyporales; Polyporaceae. The record is from RNAcentral.